GCAAUCUUAGGCUUGUCCCUCAGGCCUGGGGUGAGGAUUCUGGGAGGUGUGGGAGCCCUGCUGGCUCUACAGCCCUCCAACAACUGACCAGGAAGAGGGAUUCUGGGAAAACUCCCUGGAUCAAGUGCCAGCCUGGGCCUGAAGCUGGGCACUGGGAGGGACACACACAGGGAUAGCCUGGAUCAGAAGACAGGCCACCAACACAGAGCUGUGGGCCUGGGUUACAAGAACGAACGCGGAGACCCUCGUCCCUGGAGUACGUGGUGGUGAGAAAGUGCGUCCUAAGGUUUGGACAGUGCAGUCGGAGCAGAUCGGGAGCAUGUUUAAAGGUGGUGCCUACAGGACUCAGGGUAAAAACAAGGGGAAGUAUUCCCAGUGGAAGUAAGUGGCCUGAUAUGAGGAAAAGAAGGCACAGCCAAAAAAGCUUCACAAAAUAGUGAGUGGCUGAAAUUCACUGAGAGUCUAGUUGUGGAGGACGUCACUUCACUGGCCCAAGUUGGC
Molecule: long non-coding RNA, 501 nt
Organism: Hipposideros armiger (great roundleaf bat)
Lineage: Eukaryota; Metazoa; Chordata; Mammalia; Chiroptera; Hipposideridae
Exons: 4
Source: RefSeq, a predicted model, not a curated record